Long non-coding RNA from Arabidopsis thaliana (thale cress), 202 nucleotides. RefSeq annotates it as other RNA. The record is from RefSeq. Lineage: Eukaryota; Viridiplantae; Streptophyta; Magnoliopsida; Brassicales; Brassicaceae. The transcript has a single exon.
CUUCUCUCGAUCUCAUGGUCGAUGUGUAUUGAUUGAUCUGCGAUCAAGCUUCUUAAGUAGAUGGAUGAUGAAUGAAUUACGGACAUCUUCAUCGCUGAAGCUCGGAAAAACGACGUAUCUCUUGCUGCGAGAAGAAGAAGAUACUCUAAACCUCGACAAUGACUAUACGACUGGGGAUGAGAUGGAUCUGGAUGAGGAGAAU